GAACAGGGUAACGAAUUCGAGUACUCGAAGUUCAUUAAUGUGUGAUGACACUAGUAAGGAAGGGUAAGAGGCGGCCAGGCAAGGAAGUCGCCGGACGGCGGCCGCUCGCGCCGCUCUCCUCCUCGCCUCCGACACGCCCUUCUGCUCCCUGCUGACCCUUCUGAGGCUUUGUCGACUUGGACGACUCCGUGGAUGAUGAUGCGGAAGAGGGUGAGGCGGAAGAUAAGAGGAAUCCUGUUCCAACCGCCGCUGAAAGGGUGGAUGGCCAGGAGGAGGAGGAGGAUAAGAGGAGGCAUCGUAGUAGGAUUGCCGUCAUCUUCUUCCUCUUGUGGUUGACCGUGAGGAAGGUUAGGGCGAAGUGGAUGAGGAAGAGGAACCGAUCAAUCCUCCAAAAAGCGCAGCUUUCUCCUAAGUGAGAAGUAUAGUGUUCUGUUCUACCUUCAUUCGCAAGCUGUUUCUUUGUUCCCUACACUUCAUUUUCUUCCCAAUCCAGUCUCGAUCAAAAUUGAUGAAGUGGAGUACUUGUUGAUGGGAAAUUGGACAUCUUGCAGAUUGAAAAUGUCCUCUGAAGAUUGAAAAGGCCUGUUUCAGGGGUAUUCAACAACGCAAUUUUGAUCUUCUCUUUGUAUUUGUUGUCCUUGACUCGAACGUUUUGGGUGGUGGCAGAAAGGAUACUGGUGCGGUUUUUGUGCAACCAGUGGAUAUCGAAGAGCUUCCUGAUUACUUUGAUGUGAUUGAACAUCCAAUGGACUUUGGGACCAUGCAGAAGAAAUUGGCAAGGAAUUGCGUUCACUCUUUUGAACAAUUUGAGGAUGAUGUCUUCUUGAUCUCUGGCAACGCUAUGCAGUAUAAUGCACCAGACACAAUAUACUUUAGAGAGGAAUUAGGUGGUGGUUAUGAUCUUUGCCUUGGUACCUUCAAGAUUAAUGGUUAGCUAGUCAAACAUUUCAAAGAGUUCUGAUUCCUCUAAAGCUUCUCCAUCAGCUGUUCCAUCAACCUGCAGAAUCUACCAGAUUAUGUUGCUGCUCAAACAUGGAUAGCGGCUGGAUCUUUGUAACAAUUUAAAUGAAUCUGUUUCUAUGGUUUCCUAUGACUGUUGGAUGACACUGAACUCAUGCUUCCUAUGUCUCAAAUCCAGACAGUUGAUUGGAACAUCAGGCUAUUGAUAAAGGAAUGGUUAUCUUCCCUCAACUAAUCGCAGACAAUAUAUCAAGAUUUUGGAAUCAGAGUCCGCAGCAACCUGCAAGGUUCAGUUCCAUGAACCACAAACAAACGUAAUAAGUAUAUAUUUCCUCCAGAUCUUAAUAUUAGUUUCCAGCCUCGACCUCCUGGAUCACCUGCUUAGCUGCUCUCCACUCCUGCGAUUCAUAAGAACUCUCAGCAGCCAGACUUAGCUUUGCAACUCUGACAUACCUUGUUUGAUUCUGCAAUAUUCUCCAUGCAGGAAAUUGUUCCUGUCAUGUGAUGCAGAAGGAAUGUUAAAAUUAUUAAUGCUAAGAUGCUCUAACACCCGAUAGAGUUUCUUUAUGCCUGGAAGAUCAGUAAGGUAUUGGAAAAGAGAACUCAUCCUAACAGAAACUGCUUAGUCACCUGAUCUUUGCUUGAUCAUCACACCUUUGGUUGGAAAUUGAUUCUUGAGCUAUGGUCAUGACUCAGGAUAUAUAUAUUGAGAUGAACUGUGUGUGUUAGCUGUUGGUUCUUGGUGAUAUUGUAAGUUUUCUUCCUUCAUCACGGUAUAAUCGUCAAAGAUAUCUUCUUGGAGUCAACUAUGGUGCAUUUGCCGUGCAACCUUUGAAGAAACCAAAAUUGUAGGAAAGGGAUAUUUCUCAUUGUUAGAGCACUAGUUGAGUUUACUUGUUGGCAUUCGGUGGUCGAUCAAAGUCUUCAAGGUGAAAGAGGUGACCAUGGAAGGCUCCUUAGGUCAUGUUGUAAUCAGUAAUUCGCCUCUCAUUCUCUACUAAUGUGGAACCUCAUUUCAUCAAAUUCCAAUCGCCAAACGUGUAUUUUAGAUGUUGUUAGAGCCAACUUAUCCUGUUUUCUGAGAUGGAUAAGCAUUUCACUCCUCUUGAGUUGAGUGUGUGCUUAGAGUUCGAUCAUCUGUCUUGAAGGUAAUAGUGGUGAAGAUUAAAAGGACUCUCAAGGGUAAAAGACUCAUUUUGAUAA
This is a long non-coding RNA of Zingiber officinale, 2163 nucleotides long. RefSeq lists it as uncharacterized. Lineage: Eukaryota; Viridiplantae; Streptophyta; Magnoliopsida; Zingiberales; Zingiberaceae. The transcript has 5 exons. The record is from RefSeq and is a predicted model, not a curated record.